CCCGCUGAGUUUAAGCAUAUCAAUAUGCGAAGGAAAAUAAACUUACCAGGAUACCUCUAGUAAUAGCGAGCGAACCGAGAAAAGCCCAGCUUGAGAAUCGAGCGGCAUCGGCGUCCGAAUUGUCUGGAGAAGCGUCCUCAGAGGCGAACUGGGCCCAAGUCCCCUGGAAAGGGGCACCGGAGAGGGUGAGAGCCCCAUCGUGCCCAGAUCCUGUCGCACCACGAGGCGCUGUCUACGAGUCGAGUUAUUUGGGAAUGCAGCCCUAAUUGGAUGGUAAAUUCCAUCGAAGGCUAAAUACGGGCGAGAGAUCGAUAGUGAACAAGUACAGCGAGGGAAAGAUGAAAAGGACUUUGAAAAGAGAGUCAAAGAGUGCUUGAAAUUGUCGGGAAGGAAGCAGAUGGGGGAGGGCGAUGCGCCCCGGUCGGAUGUGGAAUGGUGAGAGCCAGUCCACCGAUCGACUCGGGGCGUGGACCGACGCGAGUCGUGGCAGUGGCCCAAGCCUGGGACUUUGAUACGCCUGUGGAGACGUCGUCGCCUCGAUUGUGGGAUCCAGCACGGGCCGUCUCGGCGUGCUUUGGCACCUGUGUGCUCAGGGCAUCGGCCUACGGGCUCCCCAUUCGACCCGUCUUGAAACACGG
RNAcentral lists this non-coding RNA (638 nucleotides) under Gossypium hirsutum (cotton). RNAcentral's name for it is "Eukaryotic large subunit ribosomal RNA". It matches the Rfam family "Eukaryotic large subunit ribosomal RNA", at positions 24 to 664 of the family's 3401-position model. Lineage: Eukaryota; Viridiplantae; Streptophyta; Magnoliopsida; Malvales; Malvaceae. The record is from Rfam by way of RNAcentral.